This 241-nucleotide unclassified non-coding RNA is filed under the name plant metagenome. RNAcentral's name for it is "partial contains small subunit ribosomal RNA, internal transcribed spacer 1, and 5.8S ribosomal RNA". The record is from RNAcentral.
UUUCCGUAGGUGAACCUGCGGAAGGAUCAUUACCGAGUGAGGGUUUCUCAGGCCCUACCUCCCACCCUGUGUUUUUGUGACCUUGUUGCUUUGGCGGGCCCGCCUCGAUGAGAGGCCGCCGGAAGCUCACCGCUUUGGGCCCGUUCCCGUCAGUAGCCCCCUUAAAUUCUUAAUAAACCUGUCAUCUGAGUUAAUGGAUAUAAUGAAAAAAAAACUUUUAACAACGGAUCUCUUGGUUCUG